AUUGAACGCUGGCGGCAUGCCUUACACAUGCAAGUCGAACGGUAACAGGUCUUCGGAUGCUGACGAGUGGCGAACGGGUGAGUAAUAUAUCGGAACGUGCCCAGUCGUGGGGGAUAACGCAGCGAAAGCUGUGCUAAUACCGCAUACGAUCUAUGGAUGAAAGCGGGGGAUCGCAAGACCUCGCGCGAUUGGAGCGGCCGAUAUCAGAUUAGGUAGUUGGUGGGGUAAAGGCCCACCAAGCCAACGAUCUGUAGCUGGUCUGAGAGGACGACCAGCCAGACUGGAACUGAGACACGGUCCAGACUCCUACGGGAGGCAGCAGUAGGGAAUUUUCCACAAUGGGCGAAAGCCUGAUGGAGCAACGCCGCGUGCAGGAUGAAGGCCCUCGGGUCGUAAACUGCUUUUGUACGGAACGAAAAGGUCUUUUCUAAUAAAGAAGGCUGAUGACGGUACCGUAAGAAUAAGCACCGGCUAACUACGUGCCAGCAGCCGAC
Molecule: ribosomal RNA, 494 nt
Filed under: uncultured bacterium
Lineage: Bacteria
Description: bacterial SSU rRNA
Rfam family: Bacterial small subunit ribosomal RNA
Source: RNAcentral